RNAcentral lists this ribosomal RNA (543 nucleotides) under uncultured fungus. Its description in RNAcentral is "eukaryotic LSU rRNA". The stretch from base 202 to 355 matches the Rfam family "5.8S ribosomal RNA". Lineage: Eukaryota; Fungi. The record is from RNAcentral.
AAGUCGUAACAAGGUCUCCGUAGGUGAACCUGCGGAGAGAUCAUUACCGAGAUGCGGGCCUCCGCGCCCGAACCUCCCAACCCUUUGUCGAUGAAUACCUGUUGCCUCGGGGGCGACCCGGACGUCGCGCGGGAGCCCCCAGAGGACACAACCGAACACACUGCGUCUCAUGCGUCGGAGUCAUCGAAAACAAUCAAUCAAAACUUUCAACAACGGAUCUCUUGGUUCUGGCAUCGAUGAAGAACGCAGCGAAAUGCGAUAAGUAAUGUGAAUUGCAGAAUUCAGUGAAUCAUCGAAUCUUUGAACGCACAUUGCGCCCCUUGGCAUUCCGGAGGGCAUGCCCGUUCGAGCGUCAUUACACCACUCGAAGCCUGGCUUGGUAUUGGGCGUCGGGAUGCCCCCGCGCCUCUAUGUUUGUCGGCUGGACGGUUCGAAUCUCAGCGUUGUGUUCAUCAGAUCGCUGACGAGGACUGACCGGACGCGCCGUGAAAAUCCCAUCCACAGGUUGACCUCGGAUCGGGUAGGGAUACCCGCUGAACUUAA